CACCAUUAAAUUUCACUCCCCUUCUUUCUCGAGCUGCAAUGAUUCUUCUUCUCCAUGCCACCUUGUUUGUUAAUUAGAUCUGCCGUUACCAUAUCCAUACUUCUCCUUUCCUUUCUUUCUCCGAUCAUCUUCUUCCCCUUUUUUUGCAGACCAUCAUCUUCUUUCCCUAUUUUUUCAGGCCAUCAUCUUCUUUCUCUUUUUUAACCAGUCAUUAACCCACCUCCCACCAUUGGCACCACCUCAUUUUUCUCCAAAUCUAUCGUUGUCAAUAUCUUUCUUUUUAGCCUUUCAAACAAUCAAUCACAAAUUUUAAUUUGUUCAUCGAAAAACACUGCCACCACACAUCUCUUUCUUUCUGCCAAAUCAAC
This 368-nucleotide long non-coding RNA is filed under the name Solanum tuberosum (potato). RNAcentral's name for it is "long non-coding RNA (STUB_LNC007828)". The record is from RNAcentral. Lineage: Eukaryota; Viridiplantae; Streptophyta; Magnoliopsida; Solanales; Solanaceae.